CUAUACAUGCAAGUCGAGCGCAGGAAGCUGACGGAACUCUUCGGAGGGAAGGCAGUGGAAUGAGCGGCGGACGGGUGAGUAACACGUAAGGAACCUGCCUCAAGGAUUGGGAUAACUCCGAGAAAUCGGAGCUAAUACCGGAUAGUUCAACGGACCGCAUGGUCCGCUGAUGAAAGGCGCUCCGGCGUCACCUUGAGAUGGCCUUGCGGUGCAUUAGCUAGUUGGUGGGGUAACGGCCCACCAAGGCGACGAUGCAUAGCCGACCUGAGAGGGUGAUCGGCCACACUGGGACUGAGACACGGCCCAGACUCCUACGGGAGGCAGCAGUAGGGAAUCUUCCACAAUGGACGAAAGUCUGAUGGAGCAACGCCGCGUGAGUGAUGAAGGUUUUCGGAUCGUAAAACUCUGUUGUAAGGGAAGAACACGUACGAGAGGAAAUGCUCGUACCUUGACGGUACCUUACGAGAAAGCCACGGCUAACUACGUGCCAGCAGCCGCGGUAAUACGUAGGUGGCAAGCGUUGU
RNAcentral lists this ribosomal RNA (524 nucleotides) under Exiguobacterium indicum. RNAcentral's name for it is "bacterial SSU rRNA". It matches the Rfam family "Bacterial small subunit ribosomal RNA", at positions 49 to 544 of the family's 1533-position model. The record is from RNAcentral. Lineage: Bacteria; Bacillati; Bacillota; Bacilli; Caryophanales.